This 491-nucleotide ribosomal RNA is filed under the name uncultured bacterium. RNAcentral's name for it is "partial 16S ribosomal RNA". It matches the Rfam family "Bacterial small subunit ribosomal RNA", at positions 29 to 507 of the family's 1533-position model. The record is from RNAcentral.
AGUGAACGCUGGCGGUAGGCCUAACACAUGCAAGUCGAACGGCAGCACAGUAAGAGCUUGCUCUUACGGGUGGCGAGUGGCGGACGGGUGAGGAAUACAUCGGAAUCUACUUUUUCGUGGGGGGUAACGUAGGGAAACUUACGCUAAUACCGCAUACGACCUACGGGUGAAAGCAGGGGGUCUUCGGACCUUGCGCGAUUGAAUGAGCCGAAGUCGGAUUAGCUAGUUGGCGGGGUAAAGGCCCACCAAGGCGACGAUCCGUAGCUGGUCUGAGAGGAUGAUCAGCCACACUGGAACUGAGACACGGUCCAGACUCCUACGGGAGGCAGCAGUGGGGAAUAUUGGACAAUGGGCGCAAGCCUGAUCCAGCCAUACCGCGUGGGUGAAGAAGGCCUUCGGGUUGUAAAGCCCUUUGUUGGGAAAGAAAAGCAGCAGGUUAAUACCCCGCUGUUCUGACGGUACCCAAAGAAUAAGCACCGGCUAACUUCGUG